RNAcentral lists this ribosomal RNA (253 nucleotides) under uncultured bacterium. RNAcentral describes it as "partial 16S ribosomal RNA". It matches the Rfam family "Bacterial small subunit ribosomal RNA", at positions 524 to 776 of the family's 1533-position model. The record is from RNAcentral.
UACGGAGGUGGCAAGCGUUGUUCGGAAUUACUGGGCGUAAAGGGCGCGUAGGCGGCUAGGCAAGUCAGGUGUGAAAGCCCCGGGCUUAACCCGGGAAUUGCAUCUGAAACUGCUGUGCUUGAGUUCUGGAGGGGGUAGUGGAAUUCCCAGCGUAGCGGUGAAAUGCGUAGAUAUCUGGAGGAACACCGGUGGCGAAGGCGCCCACCUGGCCUGCUACUGACGCUGAAGCUCGAAAGCUAGGGGAGCAAACGGG